AGGGUUUGAUCCUGGCUCAGGAUGAACGCUGGCGGCGUGCUUAACACAUGCAAGUCGAACGGAGAUGCUUAAACGGAUUUCUUCGGAUUGAAGCUUUUGCAUCUUAGUGGCGGACGGGUGAGUAACGCGUGGGUAACCUGCCUAUGACAGGGGGACAACAGUUAGAAAUGACUGCUAAUACCGCAUAAGCCGGGAGGGAGGCAUCUCCCCACCGGAAAAGAUUUAUCGGUCAUAGAUGGACCCGCGUCUGAUUAGCUGGUUGGUGAGGUAACGGCCCACCAAGGCGACGAUCAGUAGCCGAACUGAGAGGUUGACCGGCCACAUUGGGACUGAGACACGGCCCAAACUCC
Molecule: ribosomal RNA, 350 nt
Filed under: uncultured Lachnospiraceae bacterium
Lineage: Bacteria; Bacillati; Bacillota; Clostridia; Lachnospirales; Lachnospiraceae
Description: bacterial SSU rRNA
Rfam family: Bacterial small subunit ribosomal RNA
Source: RNAcentral